Molecule: non-coding RNA, 3124 nt
Organism: Sus scrofa (pig)
Lineage: Eukaryota; Metazoa; Chordata; Mammalia; Artiodactyla; Suidae
Source: RefSeq, a predicted model, not a curated record
AGGCUGGGGUGGCGGAGAGCUGGGCAGUCACGCAGCCUAACUGGCUGGUCGGGCGUCAGGGCGGUGAAGGUAGGACUACCGGUCCCGGGCGCCGAGUUCCCUCUCUCCAGCUGCCCGCAGUCAGAGCAUGCUCCUCAGGCCCCGAGGACCCCUGGCCGGGCUUGCUUAGAGAAGACAACUCCCCAGCACUGGGGCCGGGGCGUCCCUGCCCGCUCCUCCACUGUCGCUGGAGAACCGCCUGGCUGAGCGGCUGGGAGAAACAGGCCAGAGCCUUCUAGGGCCUCGGGCCCGGGGACCCGUGGAGGAUGAGCUGGCUCUUUCCCCUGACCAAGAGCGCCUCCUCCUCCGCAGCUGGGUCCCCCGGUGGCCUCACCAGCCUCCAACAGCAGAAGCAGCGCCUGAUCGAGUCCCUCCGGAACUCACACUCCAGUAUAGCUGAAAUACAGAAAGAUGUGGAAUACAGGUUGCCAUUCACCGUAAACAACUUGACAAUUAACAUUAAUAUAUUGCUCCCUCCACAAUUUCCUCAGGAAAAACCAGUGAUCAGCGUUUAUCCACCAGUACGACAUCACUUAGUGGAUAAACAAGGAGUGUAUGUUACCUCUCCGUUAAUAAACAAUUUUACAAUGCACUCAGAUCUUGGGAAAAUUAUUCAGAGUCUCUUGGAUGAGUUUUGGAAGAAUCCUCCAGUUUUAGCUCCCGCUUCAACAGCAUUUCCAUACCUGUAUGGUAACCCAAGUGGGAUGCCUCCUUAUGCUUCUCAGGGUUUUCCAUUUCUUCCUCCAUAUCCGCCACAAGAAGCUAACAGGACUAUCAGUUCUUUAUCUGUUGCUGACACUGUUUCUUCUUCAACGACAAGUUAUACAACAGCCAAACCUGCUGCUCCUUCAUUUGGUGUCCUUUCAAAUCUGCCAUUGCCUGUUCCCACAACAGACACUUCAGCACCGAUAAGCCAAAAUGGUUCUGGUUACAAGAUGCCUGAUGUCCCUGAUGCAUUUCCAGAACUCUCAGAACUAAGUGUUUCACAACUUACAGAUAUGAAUGAACAAGAGGAAGUAUUACUAGAACAGUUUCUGACUUUGCCUCAACUAAAACAAAUCAUUACUGACAAGGAUGACUUAGUAAAAAAUAUUGAGGAGCUAGCAAGAAAAAAUCUCCUUUUGGAGCCCAGCUUAGAAGCCAAAAGGCAAAGUGUUUUAGAUAAGUAUGAAUUACUUACACAAAUGAAAUCUACUUUUGAAAAGAAGAUGCAGAGGCAGCAUGAACUUAGUGAGAGCUGUAGUGCGAGUGCCCUACAGGCGAGAUUGAAAGUAGCUGCACAUGAAGCCGAGGAAGAAUCUGAUAAUAUUGCGGAAGAUUUCUUGGAGGGAAAAACUGAUAUAGAUGAUUUUCUCAGUAGCUUCAUGGAAAAAAGAACAGUAUGUAAUACUCUUCGGUUGAGGACAAGUGACAGCAUAAUAGCAAAUUACUUACAUAUAUUCAUGAGUAAAAGAACCUUAGCACAUUACUGAGCUGGAGUUUUGAUUGCCGUGCGAGGAAACUGAAGAGCCUCUGUUGAGAAUAAUAGCAACAUCCUACUAUAACUUAAACCUGCUUGUUGUGAGUACACAAGCAGGUAAAUCACAUAAUAGUUCUGUUUCAGAAACGAUAGGAUCUGUAUCAUUCUGUAGUAAAGCUAGUAAAUUAGCUUUAGUCUAGUCUUAAUUGUUGUAAUAUAUUCGUAAAUAACCUGUCUCACAGGUUGUUGAAAGAGAGUCAUCUAUAGAGACUUAAAAGUUUUGUUUUUAAAAUACUGAGAACAUUCUGGGAAUAGUUUCUGUUCUGAUAUUUCCAUUUUAUUUAAAGAAAAAAAUUUUACAACCCGCUUAGCAGUAUCUUGUCCUUUGUUGGAGUCCUAAGUAUAUACUUAAUUUCUCUGAAACAAAACAUUUAAAAAAUAACCUCCUGUUAAUAAACUUUAUAAAAUAUAUUUGCUAUAUAUGUUCCUAUCCUGUUAAGGAAAGUGGGGCAGAUUUUAUCACCCCCUUUUUCUAUAGGAGAAAACUGAAUUUCAGAGACAUUAAUGACUAUGAUUAUAGCCUCAGUAAAACAUUGAUUUCUGGUCCAUGGUUCUAUGGCACUAUAUAACUGUACCUCAAAAUUUUUCAUUUGUUAAACCUCCUGUUUAAAAGCAGUAGAAAUUACUUUUAUAUUUUUAAAACACAGAUAUUUGAACUUACAUAAUCAGAAUUAAUAUAAAGGAUCAGAAGUUUUUUUUACAUUCUAGAAGUUUACAGGCAAAGAUAAUCUUCCAAACAAAAUUAAUUUCUUUUUGAUUCUUAAACGCCGUGCUACCUUAGACAUUCACAAUUUAAAUAAUGUCAAGUUAAAAAAUUCUUAGAUUUCCAUCCAAAUGUAGGUAGUAGUAGGCAAAUUAUUGACAAAAUGACUGGUAUUUUAAAUAAUUUAUCUUCUAGAUUUACCACUGUAGAAGAGCCAAAGAAGAAAAGCUUCAACAAGUGAUAGCAAUGCACAGCCAGUUUCAUGCUCCACUCUAGAUUUUCCUGAAAACAUGAACUGCCAAGAGAGGAAUGGGACAUGAAACAAAGCACAUUUUAUAUAUUUAUGAUUUGCAAAUUGGCAUUUCAUCACAGUGGCUGAAUUCAUAGAUGUACUAUAUAGAUCGUGUACAGCACUGAAACUGAUUUUGUACAGAUUAGAAUGAUUGCUGUGAUCUUUGCUUUAGAAAUUUUCUGCACUAUUUGCACUAAAAAUGUUUAUUUAUUGUUGAUAAAUCCUAUCAUAUUUAAGUUCCACCGCUAUUCUUCUCAUUGAUUAAAUACCUAUGCAUGUAAUUUUAGCUAGUUUCAAUAUUUUAAAAAAUUACUUCAUUUAAAUUUGUAUUUUUAAUUUGAAAUUGCCUCAUUUCUUUAUCAAAGAGUGGUUUGUUUAGAUUUUUUUCAUUUCAACUUUUUUUGAAAAACUGCUAUUUCAACUAUAGAAAGACUCUAUUUUUCCUCUUUCUUUCUGGAUGAUAAACCUUUCUUUUCGAACAUAAUUUGUUUUUACAACACCAAACCUGCCAAUGUGCAAUCUCAAGGAAGUAACUUUUAAUACAUACAAUAAAUCAAAAGAAUAAACCAGC